CCAGCAGAGCAGCUUUAUGGGACGUUAUGACUGCCAAUGAGUGGCUCAGAGGCCGGAAGUCACCAGAGUGAAAACGUGACUCAUCUCUCUACGCUGAAGGCUGUAUUAUGGGCAAAUGGUGGAGCCGAAUUGGAAAGGAAUUUGGACUAGAAGUGAAUUUCACCACCCAAGUGGAUAUUCAAAAGAAGAUGGCUGAAUCCAAAGGGCGAUCGAGUGGUACCUGUGCCAAGACUCAAUUCUCCCUGAAUAAAUUAGGAAGUAAAAAAAUGUCAAAGACAUGGUGCAAGCAAUGGAAGAAGUAAAUUAAGAUGGCUUUGGAGCUCACGGAUUUUAAGGCAACAGAUGGACUUCCCACCUAACAGACUGGAUCCCAAGAAGCAGAAAACAUUCUUGCCAAAGGCUAAACAGAUCCCAAAUUAAGACUUGAGAGCUUGAAAGAAAAUAGAAUUGUUGGUGGAGGAAUGAACAAGAAUGAAUCCGCUUUCCCCAAAAUUCUGAGGGGAGGAUCUGGACAGCGUAAACCCGAAACUGGGAAUUUCAAAGCCUGAGUGGAAUGGGAAUGGGAAUGUGUACCAGGAUGCUUGGCCAGAAAGCAAAAAUGGCUCUGGGGGCCGAAAUGGAAAAUUCCCAUGAGGGGAAUGUGUUUGAAAAAAAGGAAAGGAGAUCUGGA
Long non-coding RNA from Ornithorhynchus anatinus (platypus), 670 nucleotides. RefSeq lists it as uncharacterized. NCBI's taxonomy places the organism in Eukaryota, Metazoa, Chordata, Mammalia, Monotremata, Ornithorhynchidae. The record is from RefSeq and is a predicted model, not a curated record. The transcript is spliced from 2 exons.